Molecule: transfer RNA, 77 nt
Filed under: Desulfococcaceae bacterium HSG8
Lineage: Bacteria; Pseudomonadati; Thermodesulfobacteriota; Desulfobacteria; Desulfobacterales; Desulfococcaceae
Also listed under: 1 other name
Description: tRNA-Ile
Rfam family: tRNA
About the family: Transfer RNA (tRNA) molecules are approximately 80 nucleotides in length. Their secondary structure includes four short double-helical elements and three loops (D, anti-codon, and T loops).
Source: RNAcentral
GGGCCUGUAGCUCAGUUGGUCAGAGCGCACGCCUGAUAAGCGUGAGGUCGAUGGUUCAAAUCCAUCCAGGCCCACCA